UACGAAGGGGGCUAGCGUUGUUCGGAAUCACUGGGCGUAAAGGGCGCGUAGGCGGCUUUAUAAGUCGGGGGUGAAAGCCUGUGGCUCAACCACAGAAUUGCCUUCGAUACUGUAGAGCUUGAGACCGGAAGAGGUAAGUGGAACUGCGAGUGUAGAGGUGAAAUUCGUAGAUAUUCGCAAGAACACCGGUGGCGAAGGCGGCAUCCUGGACCGGUAUUGACGCUGAGACGCGAAAGCGUGGGGAGCGAACAGG
This 253-nucleotide ribosomal RNA is filed under the name uncultured bacterium. RNAcentral's name for it is "partial 16S ribosomal RNA". It matches the Rfam family "Bacterial small subunit ribosomal RNA", at positions 524 to 776 of the family's 1533-position model. The record is from RNAcentral.